This is a non-coding RNA of Dermochelys coriacea (leatherback sea turtle), 2974 nucleotides long. The record is from the annotation of a RefSeq genome assembly. Lineage: Eukaryota; Metazoa; Chordata; Testudines; Dermochelyidae.
UCCAGUGGGCUUUAGCCGGAGACGUCAGAGCUCGUCCCCCCUGGAAAGGAAGCCCAACGCGUCUCGAGCUGAGUGCGCCGCAAAAACGGAGCCAGCUCAACUCAAAGGCCAACUUAGGAACCUGAACUCUGAGCUGUCGCCUGAACAGGGGCUGCCGGUUACAUCCAGCCCCAGGCAGCCAAGCUGACAUCUAGCUGUGCUGGGAACUCCCCACGCUCGGCUCUCAGCAUGGAGCAUGAGCGCAGAGCUGGUGGAGGGAGGCUGGGACGGCUCAGAGAGACGUGUUCCUGCACUCGCGAACCCCACAACCCCCUCCGUCUUCCCCCUGGUUCCCUGCUGCAGCAAGACUGGCAAUGCUCCCACGGACAGCAGCUUGGCCUGCCUCGUAACUGGCUAUUUGCCAUCACCAGUGGACAUCAAGUGGAAUUCUGGCAAAGUGACCAAGGGGGUCAAAACUUUCCCAGAGAUGAUGAUGAGCAAUGGGCUCCACACCCAGAGCAGUCUGCUGAGCCCCUCUGACGGUUCCCAGCAGGGCGUCCCCUACCAGUGCGACGUGAUGCAUCAAGGCACAGCAAAGACAGUGUCGAAGAAGUUCCCUCAGGAAUUGUGUGGUUUGAUGAUGCCACCCCAGGUUCACCUCCUGAUCCCCACCUGCGAGGACAGCGCCACAGAGAGCCAGCUGGAGCUGGUUUGCCUCCUCCUGAACUUCAGACCCGGCAAAGCCGACGUGAAAUGGCUGGUGAAUGGAAAGGAGAGGAGCCCUUCCACCCUGGCCUUUUCCUCUGCAAUGGGCACAGAUGGCUCCUACAUGGGGCAGAGCCGCAUGAACAUCACCAGGCAGAGCUGGGAGACAGGGGAUGUCUACACCUGUCAAGUAACCCACCCAGCAGUGGGAACAGAGCUCUCCAUGCACAACACCAGCAAGUGCUUGGCCUGCCUCAGAAGUUCACUUGACCCAGUCAUCUACUUAACCAAACCCUCCUAUGAAGACGUCAUCAAAAAUUCUGGUCAUGUUACCUGUCUAGUUUUGGGUUAUGACUUAGCAGCCAGCAGAAUUGCAUGGAAAGUGGAUGGGCAAAUCAGCUCUGUGGCGAAGACAGAACCCCCCCAAAAAAACAACAAUGGGACCACCAGCCUGGUCAGUUCUCACCCUGUGUCACUGGUCCAAUGGGGACAAGGCGCCAAAUUUACCUGCAAAGUGACCACACCCUGUUCUGGAGAACUAACCCAGGACAUAACCAUGAGCAAUACAGGCAUUCGUAAGAAGGAGCCCUCAGUCACCGUCUCCCGAGCCUACCACGAAGACAUCUCUGGGAACAGUGUCUCCUUUACUCUCAUCUGCGAAGCUAGUGGCUUUUACCCUGAAGAGAUCAGCAUGUCAUGGUUGAAGAAUAACUCCCCGGAACUCAAGUCCAGUUACAACAACGGCCCUAUGUCAGGAAGUGGCACUUUCUCUGCCUACAGUGUCCUGAAGGUUGAGCAAAGUCAAGGAGAAGGAAAUUACACCUGCGUGGUGCAUCACCCAGCCAUGGAAGAGCCCAAAAGGGUUGUGGAAAAGGUGUCCCUCGGUGUCAGCAACUGUAAUCAACACCCUCUGGAGGUCUCUCUCCUUCCCCCUUCUCUGGAGGACCUCUACAUAGGGCAGAACGCCACCAUCAGUUGUUUGGUGAGUGGCAUGGAGACCCCCGGCAGCCUGGAGGUCUCCUGGAACCGGGGUAGUGGGAGCCCGUUGGCCGUGGUCUCCAGGGAGCCGGUGCUGCAGGAAGAUGGCACCUACAGUGCAACCAGCAUCCUGCGGGUGUGCGUGGAGGAGUGGCAGGCGGGGGAGGAGUUCACCUGCACCGUGAAGCACCAAGACAUCCCGUCGGCCAUUGUCAAGAGCAUCCGCAAGAGUCACAUGGUUUCCCUCCAGGCCCCUUCUGUCUACAUCUCCCCUCCUCACGCUGAGGAGCUGGCUCUCCGGGAAUCGGCCACCAUCACCUGCCUGGCCUCCGGCUUCCGGCCCAGAGACAUCUUGGUGACAUGGACCCAGCAGGACCGGCCUGUGCCCCAGGAAACCUACACCAACAUCGGCCCCGUCCGGGAGGCUGGGAAGGAGGAGCGCUACUUCAUCUACAGCAAGCUCAAUGUCUUGGCAUCUGAAUGGGAACGGGGGGACACGUACGCCUGCGUUGUGGGGCACGAGGGUCUGCCCAUGACCUUCAUCCACCGGAGCGUGGACAAAGCCUCUGCUCCUCACUGCCUGGUGGAGGACCAAGGCGUCUCUGCUGAAGGAGGAGAGGAGGAAUCUGACAGUCUCUGGACCCCUGUUGCCUUCAUCGCUCUCUUCCUGCUCAGCCUGUUGUACAGCGCCGGCGUCACGCUGCUUAAGGUGCGGUGAGUGCCCGGCUCUGGGCUUCUAGGAGGUGGACAGCACUGCUUCAUCCUCUUCAUUCCCUUCCUCCAUCUUCAGCCCUCCCGGGCUCCUGUCCUCUCCGGACACCUGGAGGGACCAUGUUCCUCAGCAGCACGACAACAGCCGCUGAAGGGUCUGAGCUCCGCAGAACCCAGAGCAGGGAGGGCAGAGUCCUUCCCCAGACGUCCCCGUGGGGCAGCCCAUGCUGGAGGUUGAGCUCAGCGCCGUGCCCCUCAAUCCUCCACCCCCAUCCCACGGCAGGGACUGGAUUUCCGUGUGUGUGUGUGUGUGUGUGUGUGUAUGUGCAGGUCUGUAGUGUCCUGAGGUCUGGUCAACGUGGACUGGCAAGAAAAAAGAGUCUCAUUUGCUCCAUUGUUUAACUUGCAACUUUCACAGGAAUUUUGUGUUUGAUCCAAAAUAAAAGGAGUUAAAAAUUGGUAGCUGCAUUUCUGGGUGGUUUUGGGGGAUUUAACCAAGGAGAACGCUACCCACUGUAUGACUCAGUCCCCAGUGUCUAUCUACGCAUCUGUCCAUUCUGAUACAUACACAUCUUUCUUUCUUUCUCUCUUUCUUUCUUUC